RNAcentral lists this ribosomal RNA (273 nucleotides) under Haliotis corrugata (pink abalone). RNAcentral describes it as "partial 18S ribosomal RNA". It matches the Rfam family "Eukaryotic small subunit ribosomal RNA", at positions 139 to 387 of the family's 1831-position model. RNAcentral also lists the same sequence under 2 other names. Lineage: Eukaryota; Metazoa; Mollusca; Gastropoda; Lepetellida; Haliotidae. The record is from RNAcentral.
UUGGAUAACUGUGGUAAUUCUAGAGCUAAUACAUGCACUAAAGCUCCGACCCUUUCUGAGGGGAAGAGCGCGUUUAUCAGUUCGAAGCCAGCCGAGCCGCAAGGCUCGUCUCUUUGGUGACUCUGGAUAACUCUAGCGGAUCGCACGGCCUCGAGCCGGCGACGCAUCUAUCAAGUGUCUGCCCUAUCAGACUGUCGAUGGUAAGUGCUAUGCUUACCAUGGUGAUAACGGGUAACGGGGAAUCAGGGUUCGAUUCCGGAAUCGAACCCUGAU